Molecule: long non-coding RNA, 1481 nt
Organism: Rosa rugosa (rugosa rose)
Lineage: Eukaryota; Viridiplantae; Streptophyta; Magnoliopsida; Rosales; Rosaceae
Exons: 3
Source: RefSeq, a predicted model, not a curated record
CAUCAGAACCCUCGACCCGUUUCUCCAGCCCGUCGACCCGGCGACUGAACCCGAUCGGAACUUCCCUCGUCCGGCGACUUCACAGCGGCGCACCGGUCAUGCUCGAAGCGUCUUCUCAUCGUGGUUCCUCCUCUGGUCACGGAUGGUCCAUGCAUGGAGUAAGAAGAGAGAAUCGAAGCCCAAAAGCUUCGGGUUUUCCGGCAAAGCUUUUGCAGUUUCCGGCGAUCGUCGGGGUUGCGUGAGCUUUUCCGGCGAUUCUGGACUUGGUUUUUGGCUAGGCUGCAUCUGCAGACGAAGGUUGACCUUGUUCAUCACCGAGUUUCGAAAAGCUUUGCGAGUUGGAUAGAGAGCUUGGGUUGCCGGAAUGUGCACCGAGGUAUCAACCCGAGAAGGUUGCCGAUUCCAGACCUUCACCAGUGCAGAUUGGGUUUUGGUACUGUUCUGAACUCGACAAAGGACUCCAGAUACCCGAGGAACGGAAGGUUCGCGACUCUCGGAGUACGUGAGAGAAAGCAUCGGAAUCCAGGUAGGGGACUCGGGACUCUCUACUGGCUAGUGAUUUUCCGUAUUUAAUUAUAUACGUGAUGCAUGAUGAAAGUACACUGUUAGUUUAAAUUUGAAAUGUUUUCAAGUUAACGUGCGUAUAAGAUUGUUGAUGGCGGUGUGUGAGAGCGGAAAGGUGGUCGAUGACUUCCUUGGGGAUUAGCCAUCCCUAAACCUCCGAAGGGUUAACUACACCGGUCAGACGGUGCGCAAUCGCAAUGACGACCCUGUUCCGUGUGUGUAGCUAGUGUGUUAAGUUUGGCGCUCUGUGACUGGUAAGGUCAAAUGUUGGUUCUACGGAACCAGGCCAUCAGGUAAAUCGCACGUAGUUUUCUAAUCAUGCAUCGAGUUUUAAGAUGAAUGAUAUUUUAAGUUUGUCGUUCUUACAUAUAUAUUCGCUUUGUUUUCACACUGGGCCCAAAUCCAAAUUAUUAAUUUAUUACAAAGUUUUAGUUGAUUUUUCAAACUUAGCCGGAGUAGGUCCCAUAGAGCAGCGAGGACGAAAGCUCACCCCUACAACAGUGUAUGUGCAGGUACUGUGCACUGGUAACGGGAUUGUAGCGGACGGAGCUGGGUACGCGGAAUUUGAUAACCCUUCCAGACGGUAAACGAGUUUCUGAUGUACUCUUGAUCUUUAUUUCUUGAUCCACGCCAUUCUAAAACUUGUUGUUGAGUGUUCAUUGUGUGGUUAAGUCUAUUAGUCCUCGACUAUUCAAAAAUGACAAGUUCUAGACGAACAAAGUGAAUUUUGUAAUUUCAAGAAGCUUUCACCUCAAAAGUAUUUUAAAUUCCCGCUGUGCGUUUUACGAAAAGUUUAUCAACAAAAAUGCCUUGCGGUUCUCUAGAAUGUAAUUCAAGCUUUCGGUUUAUAUUUUAGAGACUCGCGGCACUGUGACGUGCUCAAGCUGGCAAGGUGCAGUUUGGGGCGUUACACCUAC